Oncorhynchus tshawytscha (Chinook salmon) is the source of this 469-nucleotide long non-coding RNA. NCBI's taxonomy places the organism in Eukaryota, Metazoa, Chordata, Actinopteri, Salmoniformes, Salmonidae. The record is from Ensembl.
AGGUGGUGGUGGAGGUGGUGGUGGUUGUAGAGGUAGUGGUGGAGUUGGUGGAGGUAGUGGUGGUGGAGGUAGUGGUAUUGUAGAGGUGGUGGAUCUGGAGAGGUAGUGGUGGAGAAGUAGUGGUGGAGGUAGUGGUGGAGGUGGUGGUGGUGUUGGUGGUGGUUGUAGAGGUAGUGGUGGAGGUGGUGGUGGUUGUAGAGGUAGUGGUGGAGGUGCUGGAGGUGGUGGAUGUAGUGGUGAAGGUGGUGGAGGUAGUGGUGGUUUAGGAGGUAGAGGUGGAGGUGGUGGAGGUGAUGGUGGUUUUAGAGGUAGUGUUGGAGGUGGAGGUGGUUGUAGAGGUAGUGGUGGAGGUGGUGGUGGUUGUGGAAGUAGUGGUGGAGGUGGAGGUGAAGGUGGAGGUGGUGGAGGUGGUGGUGGUUGUAGAGGUAGUGGUGGAGUUGGUGGAGGUAGUGGUGGUGGAGGUAGUGGU